This 56-nucleotide transfer RNA is filed under the name Bos taurus (domestic cattle). It matches the Rfam family "tRNA", at positions 9 to 63 of the family's 71-position model. From Rfam's summary of the family: Transfer RNA (tRNA) molecules are approximately 80 nucleotides in length. Their secondary structure includes four short double-helical elements and three loops (D, anti-codon, and T loops). RNAcentral also lists the same sequence under 5 other names. The record is from Rfam by way of RNAcentral. Lineage: Eukaryota; Metazoa; Chordata; Mammalia; Artiodactyla; Bovidae.
GGCUCAGAUGGUAAAGCAUCUGCCUACAAUGCAGGAGAACCAGGUUCAAUCCCUGG